This 1158-nucleotide ribosomal RNA is filed under the name Salmonella enterica subsp. enterica serovar Oranienburg. RNAcentral describes it as "partial 23S ribosomal RNA". It matches the Rfam family "Bacterial large subunit ribosomal RNA", at positions 1 to 1191 of the family's 2925-position model. The record is from RNAcentral. Lineage: Bacteria; Pseudomonadati; Pseudomonadota; Gammaproteobacteria; Enterobacterales; Enterobacteriaceae.
GGGUUGUGAGGUUAAGCGACUAAGCGUACACGGUGGAUGCCCUGGCAGUCAGAGGCGAUGAAGGACGUGCUAAUCUGCGAUAAGCGCCGGUAAGGUGAUAUGAACCGUUAUAACCGGCGAUUUCCGAAUGGGGAAACCCAGUGUGACUCGUCACACUAUCAUUAACUGAAUCCAUAGGUUAAUGAGGCGAACCGGGGGAACUGAAACAUCUAAGUACCCCGAGGAAAAGAAAUCAACCGAGAUUCCCCCAGUAGCGGCGAGCGAACGGGGAGGAGCCCAGAGCCUGAAUCAGCAUGUGUGUUAGUGGAAGCGUCUGGAAAGGCGCGCGAUACAGGGUGACAGCCCCGUACACAAAAGCGCAUGUGCUGUGAGCUCGAUGAGUAGGGCGGGACACGUGGUAUCCUGUCUGAAUAUGGGGGGACCAUCCUCCAAGGCUAAAUACUCCUGACUGACCGAUAGUGAACCAGUACCGUGAGGGAAAGGCGAAAAGAACCCCGGCGAGGGGAGUGAAAAAGAACCUGAAACCGUGUACGUACAAGCAGUGGGAGCACCCUUUGGGGUGUGACUGCGUACCUUUUGUAUAAUGGGUCAGCGACUUAUAUUCUGUAGCAAGGUUAACCGAAUAGGGGAGCCGGAGGGAAACCGAGUCUUAACCGGGCGUUAAGUUGCAGGGUAUAGACCCGAAACCCGGUGAUCUAGCCAUGGGCAGGUUGAAGGUUGGGUAACACUAACUGGAGGACCGAACCGACUAAUGUUGAAAAAUUAGCGGAUGACCUGUGGCUGGGGGUGAAAGGCCAAUCAAACCGGGAGAUAGCUGGUUCUCCCCGAAAGCUAUUUAGGUAGCGCCUCGUGAAUUCAUCUCCGGGGGUAGAGCACUGUUUCGGCUAGGGGGCCAUCCCGGCUUACCAACCCGAUGCAAACUGCGAAUACCGGAGAAUGUUAUCACGGGAGACACACGGCGGGUGCUAACGUCCGUCGUGAAGAGGGAAACAACCCAGACCGCCAGCUAAGGUCCCAAAGUCAUGGUUAAGUGGGAAACGAUGUGGGAAGGCCCAGACAGCCAGGAUGUUGGCUUAGAAGCAGCCAUCAUUUAAAGAAAGCGUAAUAGCUCACUGGUCGAGUCGGCCUGCGCGGAAGAUGUAACGGGGCUAAACCAUG